Long non-coding RNA from Octopus sinensis (East Asian common octopus), 109 nucleotides. RefSeq lists it as uncharacterized. Lineage: Eukaryota; Metazoa; Mollusca; Cephalopoda; Octopoda; Octopodidae. The transcript is spliced from 3 exons. The record is from RefSeq and is a predicted model, not a curated record.
AUAAAUCUACAGAAUUCCAUUCUGGUGAUACAGAAAUUGCAGAUAUGGAAUAGGUGAAGAAAAAAUGUCGGAGGCGUUAAAAGGCAUCACUUUGCAAGAGUUCCUGUGU